GCGGGUGGAAAACUCUAAAGCUACCAAUUAGCCCAUGAAUCAAGAUUUAUCUUUACAGUUUGUAGUAAAGCUAGAUAACAGGAAGCCAGAUCGAGUGGACGCUCUCAGACAGGAGAUUGUAAUACGAAUUAGGGGCCUCUAACACCUGCUCGAGCUCUCAAUAUUUCGGUUCUUUUACUUCUUUCCAUUAUGUCCACCAGCCAUUCAACACUUUCCUUUAUCCCCAUCCCAUCAUAGCCAGAAACAGCUUCAAACAUGUAGACUCUUUCGUCCAAUUUUUUAAGAUCGAGAUAGCGAGAAAGUUCUUCUGCUGAUACUGCUUCCGGAAGAUCCUGCUUGUUUGCUAAAACCAAGAGUGGAGCUCCUUGCAAAUCCUCGUGGCGAAGAACUUUCUCUAGUGCAGAUUUGGAAUCUUCAAAUUUUGAAGGACAAGCAGCAUCGAUUACAUAGAUCACAGCAUGCGCCUCUUCAUAAUAUUUUUCCCAAAUAGACCGAAGGCCAGGCUGACCUCCCAGAUCCCAGAAGACAAGCUUUGCAUUCAACACCUCAAGGCGCCCAAUGUUGAGUCCAACAGUUGGAACAAUACGAUCAGGGGAGAGACCUUCCAAGUUUGAG
This 615-nucleotide unclassified non-coding RNA is filed under the name Hevea brasiliensis (rubber tree). Lineage: Eukaryota; Viridiplantae; Streptophyta; Magnoliopsida; Malpighiales; Euphorbiaceae. The record is from RNAcentral.